GUAGGGAAUCUUGCGCAAUGGGCGAAAGCCUGACGCAGCCAUGCCGCGUGAAUGAUGAAGGUCUUAGGAUUGUAAAAUUCUUUCACCGGGGACGAUAAUGACGGUACCCGGAGAAGAAGCCCCGGCUAACUUCGUGCCAGCAGCCGCGGUAAUACGAAGGGGGCUAGCGUUGCUCGGAAUUACUGGGCGUAAAGGGAGCGUAGGCGGAUAGUUUAGUCAGAGGUGAAAGCCCAGGGCUCAACCUUGGAAUUGCCUUUGAUACUGGCUAUCUUGAGUAUGGAAGAGGUAUGUGGAACUCCGAGUGUAGAGGUGAAAUUCGUAGAUAUUCGGAAGAACACCAGUGGCGAAGGCGACAUACUGGUCCAUUACUGACGCUGAGGCUCGAAAGCGUGGGGAGCAAACAGGAUUAGAAACCCUGGUAGUCC
RNAcentral lists this ribosomal RNA (425 nucleotides) under uncultured bacterium. RNAcentral's name for it is "partial 16S ribosomal RNA". It matches the Rfam family "Bacterial small subunit ribosomal RNA", at positions 354 to 796 of the family's 1533-position model. The record is from RNAcentral.